Molecule: small RNA, 35 nt
Filed under: Bombyx mori (domestic silkworm)
Lineage: Eukaryota; Metazoa; Arthropoda; Insecta; Lepidoptera; Bombycidae
Description: ovarian small RNA-22676
Source: RNAcentral
UAGGAUCAGAAGGAUGACUACAACUGGAUACCGUC